This 408-nucleotide unclassified non-coding RNA is filed under the name Hevea brasiliensis (rubber tree). The record is from RNAcentral. Lineage: Eukaryota; Viridiplantae; Streptophyta; Magnoliopsida; Malpighiales; Euphorbiaceae.
GUUGAGUUGAGUUGAGUUGUAUCAUCAUUAUCGUCAUCUGGCUUGUAAAAAACUUAGAAGUUUAGUUUUUGUUGGUUCUCAUGUCUUGUGUAUGCUCGCCAUCAAAUCAAGUCACACACUUUGUACUUUAUAUUUUUAUAAGAGAAUGAUAUUCCUAUUUCCUAAUGGCAUGGUGUUCUUUAUUUGUAGUAUGUUAUUACGAAAUAUUUAACUUGUUUUGCUGAUCUUAAUGCUUUGGUGAGCUAAAUGGUGUCUAUCAAUAAUAUUGUAUGUUCUGCUUUAAUCAUCCUUUUUUGGCAAUGUCAUUCAAUUGGUAUUAUUUUCCUUUUGAGCGGUAUAUCUGGGUUCUGGCUGUUACUUCUUUCAGACUUUUGAAAAGAUGUGUUAUUACUAUUAUUAUUAUUAUUU